Molecule: long non-coding RNA, 226 nt
Filed under: Elaeis guineensis (African oil palm)
Lineage: Eukaryota; Viridiplantae; Streptophyta; Magnoliopsida; Arecales; Arecaceae
Description: long non-coding RNA (EGUI_LNC011648)
Source: RNAcentral
AUUAUAUAGAUAUGACAUAUCUGAAUUGAUCAUAAUGCAAGACAGAAUUGAUUUGAUGAAAUCAACACAAAAUGAUUAAAUGAAAAGAAAGAGAUAUAUGGUAUGGACUAGUCUUGUCAUGUGGAACAGUCCGCCAGGAGCUUAUGCUUGGGACAGCCCCCACUGGCUUACAGGUGGAUCAGCCGGUCAGGAGCUCAUGCUUGGGACAGCCCGCCAGAAGCUUAUG